RNAcentral lists this ribosomal RNA (324 nucleotides) under uncultured Bacillota bacterium. RNAcentral describes it as "bacterial SSU rRNA". It matches the Rfam family "Bacterial small subunit ribosomal RNA", at positions 28 to 351 of the family's 1533-position model. The record is from RNAcentral. Lineage: Bacteria; Bacillati; Bacillota.
GACGAACGCUGGCGGCGUGCUUAACACAUGCAAGUCGAGCGAUGAAAUCCCUUCGGGGAUGGAUUAGCGGCGGACGGGUGAGUAACACGUGGGCAACCUGCCUCAAAGUGGGGGAUAGCCUCCCGAAAGGGAGAUUAAUACCGCAUAACAUUAGCUUUUCACAUGAAAGGCUAAUUAAAGGAGUAAUCCGCUUUGAGAUGGGCCCGCGGCGCAUUAGCUAGUUGGUGAGGUAACGGCUCACCAAGGCCACGAUGCGUAGCCGACCUGAGAGGGUGAUCGGCCACAUUGGAACUGAGACACGGUCCAGACUCCUACGGGAGGCUG